Molecule: ribosomal RNA, 322 nt
Filed under: uncultured bacterium
Lineage: Bacteria
Description: bacterial SSU rRNA
Rfam family: Bacterial small subunit ribosomal RNA
Source: RNAcentral
AACGAACGCUGGCGGCAGGCCUAACACAUGCAAGUCGAACGGCAGCACGGGGGCAACCUUGGUGGCGAGUGGCGAACGGGUGAGUAAUGCAUCGGAACGUGCCCAGUAGUGGGGGAGUAACUAGUCGAAAGAUUAGCUAAUACCGCAUACGACCUAUGGGUGGAAAGCGGGGGAGUUCGCAAGAACCUCGCGCUAUCGGAGCGGCCGAUGUCUGAUUAGCUAGUUGGCGGGGUAAAAGGCCCACCAAGGCGACGAUCAGUAGCUGGUCUGAGAGGACGACCAGCCACACUGGGACUGAGACACGGCCCAGACUCCUACGGGA